This 330-nucleotide ribosomal RNA is filed under the name uncultured eukaryote. Its description in RNAcentral is "partial 18S ribosomal RNA". It matches the Rfam family "Eukaryotic small subunit ribosomal RNA", at positions 1470 to 1796 of the family's 1831-position model. The record is from RNAcentral.
CCCUUAGAUGUUCGGGGCCGCACGCGCGCUGCACUGAAGGAAUCAGCACGUCUUUCUCCUUGUCCGAAAGGACUGGGUAACCCGCUGAACCUCCUUCGUGCUAGGGAUUGGGGCUUGUAAUUCUUCCCCAUGAACGAGGAAUUCCCAGUAAGCGCGAGUCAUAAGCUCGCGUUGAUUACGUCCCUGCCCUUUGUACACACCGCCCGUCGCUACUACCGAUUGGAUGGUUUAGUGAGAUCCUCGGAUUGGUCCCGGCGCGGCCUCUGGUCGUGCCGGAGUGCCGAAAAGAAUGUCGAACUUGAUCAUCUAGAGGAAGUAAAAGUCGUAACA